UGUUAACCCCUCCCCCCUGUGGAGCAUCAACAUCCAAGUGAUAUGUCACCUGUGGGUGAAUCAGCCACAGACAACUGCUUCCUUUUUGCCCUCUGAGAUAGGAGAUAUGUAUCUUGUGUCUCUCCACACUUAAAUGCUGUAUGUAAGGCUACAAAGUCUGGCCAGUCUUGCAGGACUGGUGCUCCUACCAUCCUGCACAUAGGUCAAAGCCAAACCGUGGGAAGUUGUGAAGAAUGCUUGGUUGUCAGACGAAUGAGAACGUGGACACUCAGCACAGCCAUCGCUGACCUUCUGAUGCCUCGCUGCCUGGUGCAUUCAGCAAUUCUGCUUGUCAAAAUAAGGAAAUGACUGUAGUGAACCCCUCGGAAAGGGUACAAGACGCCUGUUGCUUUGGGGAAGGACAUCGAUUGACAAAGAGAAAGAAAAACAACAGAAAAGCAACACAGCAAGGAUGGUGAAGAAGCAAAGGGUAGAAACACAACAGGCCUGCAGCAAGGCAGAUUCUGAGUAGAACAGGUCAGAGGGGAUUUUUUUUCUUCCUUGCACAAAGUUUUGACUUUCCAUAGAAGGCAGAAAAUCUCAAAAGAGGAAUUUUGUUUUUAACAGCUGACAACAAAAAUCACUUGAAAAAAGUAGUCUGAGAAAAGGAAGAAAAUAGCUGAGGAACAGCUGUUUCUCUGGGAAACAAAACCACCAUCAAGGAAAACAUACAUGUCUUAAAAACUAGUGGAGGAGUCUGCUGGAGCCUGCCUUCUCCUGGUGGGCAGGAGAGAGAGGAGCUCUUCUGAGCCCCUGGCUGAGCAGCUUCCAAGCACCAGCUCAUUGCUCAGCCACUGCUGGCUGCCCGAGCCCCAGCUUCUGCUAGCUUGCAGGGGCAUCGCUGAACACAGCCGAGGCUUUACAGGGGAUUGUACAAGCAGACUCAUUAAGCAAGAGAAGCUUUAGGCAGGAGAACAAGAGAAGAGAAGUUUCAGAGCAGGGAAAACUUCUGUGCUGUGAAGCUGCCCCAGGGUGGGAGAGGGAAGACGAGAGGAUCAAGUUCGGGAGAAAGCUGUGAAGGGCAGAGGCAGGUCCUGGGCCACCCCAGAGAGCCUCCUGCCAAGCCAAGAGAUGCUCCAGAGUGCUUAGAUAAAAAAUAAAAUAAUAAUAAAAGCAACA
This 1158-nucleotide long non-coding RNA is filed under the name Anser brachyrhynchus (Pink-footed goose). RNAcentral describes it as "lncRNA (ENSABRG00000018654.1)". Lineage: Eukaryota; Metazoa; Chordata; Aves; Anseriformes; Anatidae. The record is from RNAcentral.